This 85-nucleotide transfer RNA is filed under the name SAR202 cluster bacterium. RNAcentral describes it as "tRNA-Tyr". It matches the Rfam family "tRNA". Rfam says of the family: Transfer RNA (tRNA) molecules are approximately 80 nucleotides in length. The record is from RNAcentral. Lineage: Bacteria; Bacillati; Chloroflexota; Dehalococcoidia.
GGGGAGGCUGUGCAAGUGGCGAGCUCAACUGACUGUAAAUCAGCCGGAUAAUCCUGUGGCGGUUCAACUCCGUCCCUCCCCACCA